Molecule: ribosomal RNA, 496 nt
Filed under: uncultured bacterium
Lineage: Bacteria
Description: partial 16S ribosomal RNA
Rfam family: Bacterial small subunit ribosomal RNA
Source: RNAcentral
GAUGAACGCUGGCGGCGUGCCUAAUACAUGCAAGUCGAGCGAACAGACGAGGAGCUUGCUCCUCUGACGUUAGCGGCGGACGGGUGAGUAACACGUGGAUAACCUACCUAUAAGACUGGGAUAACUUCGGGAAACCGGAGCUAAUACCGGAUAAUAUAUUGAACCGCAUGGUUCAAUAGUGAAAGACGGUUUUGCUGUCACUUAUAGAUGGAUCCGCGCCGCAUUAGCUAGUUGGUAAGGUAACGGCUUACCAAGACAACGAUGCGUAGCCGACCUGAGAGGGUGAUCGGCCACACUGGAACUGAGACACGGUCCAGACUCCUACGGGAGGCAGCAGUAGGGAAUCUUCCGCAAUGGGCGAAAGCCUGACGGAGCAACGCCGCGUGAGUGAUGAAGGUCUUCGGAUCGUAAAACGCUGUUAUUAGGGAAGAACAAAUGUGUAAGUAACUAUGCACGUCUUGACGGUACCUAAUCAGAAAGCCACGGCUAACUACGU